CCUACGGGUGGCAGCAGUGGGGAAUAUUGCACAAUGGGCGCAAGCCUGAUGCAGCCAUGCCGCGUGUGUGAAGAAGGCCUUCGGGUUGUAAAGCACUUUCAGCGGGGAGGAAGGCGGUGAGGUUAAUAACCUCAUCGAUUGACGUUACCCGCAGAAGAAGCACCGGCUAACUCCGUGCCAGCAGCCGCGGUAAUACGGAGGGUGCAAGCGUUAAUCGGAAUUACUGGGCGUAAAGCGCACGCAGGCGGUCUGUCAAGUCGGAUGUGAAAUCCCCGGGCUCAACCUGGGAACUGCAUUCGAAACUGGCAGGCUAGAGUCUUGGAGAGGGGGGUAGAAGUCCAGGUGUAGCGGGGAAAUGCGUAGAGAUCUGGAGGAAUACCGGUGGCGAAGGCGGCCCCCUGGACAAAGACUGACGCUCAGGUGCGAAAGCGUGGGGAGCAAACAGGAUUAGAUACCCGGGUAGUC
RNAcentral lists this ribosomal RNA (465 nucleotides) under uncultured Klebsiella sp. Its description in RNAcentral is "bacterial SSU rRNA". It matches the Rfam family "Bacterial small subunit ribosomal RNA", at positions 338 to 795 of the family's 1533-position model. The record is from RNAcentral. Lineage: Bacteria; Pseudomonadati; Pseudomonadota; Gammaproteobacteria; Enterobacterales; Enterobacteriaceae.